Molecule: unclassified non-coding RNA, 248 nt
Filed under: Ascochyta boltshauseri
Lineage: Eukaryota; Fungi; Ascomycota; Dothideomycetes; Pleosporales; Didymellaceae
Description: partial contains 5.8S ribosomal RNA, internal transcribed spacer 2, and large subunit ribosomal RNA
Source: RNAcentral
CGCACAUUGCGCCCCUUGGUAUUCCAUGGGGCAUGCCUGUUCGAGCGUCAUUUGUACCUUCAAGCCUAGCUUGGUGUUGGGUGCUUGUCCCUCCUCGGCGAGCGGACUCACCUUGAAUGCAUUGGCAGCCGGCCAUCUGGUAGUAGAGCGCAGCACAAAUUGCACUCUGUAUCCGACCGUUGGCGUCCAAACAGCCUACCAACCUAACUUUUGACCUCGGAUCAGGUAGGGAUACCCGCUGAACUUAA